AUUGUUGCAGGUGGGACACUGUGAUGGCGCGACACCUGGCUUUUCUGGAUCUUAUCUCCUUUAAUUACAGCAGCAGCUCGGAAGAUGAAAAUGAAGUCGUUUCUACUAACAGAAAGCGCCGAAGACGAAAUAAUAGUGCCAAAGAUGUGAGUCCAGGUGGGAGGAAAAUGCAAGGAAAUGUGACACAGGAAACCAGGGUUUCAGCUUCAGAGAAGAAUGAAGAUUCAUGUCAGGACUCUGUGGCUCGACUUCCUCUGCCUGCCUCCGUGAUGGAGAUGUUCAGAGACUCAGAAGAGCAGCACAUAGAUGACAGAUCUCAACAUGGAGGACGACUCAGGUCUUUCCAACACGAGAGAGGCAACUGGGCUACUUAUGUCUAUCUACCAUAUGAUCCUGAAGACGUGUUCCUGGAGUUGCUGGAUGAGCUGCGGGUUUGUGCAGCGGCUCAUGGCGUCACCUUGACCCGGGCAGAAGAGUUUCACAUCAGCCUCUCUCAGACAGUGGUCCUGCGACACCACUGGAUUCAGCCAUUUGUUCAGUCGCUGCGUUCUGCACUGACAACAUGCAGGGGGUUUGUAUGUUUGGCACAUAAACUGAAGGUGUACUCCAAUCAAGAAAAAACAAGGACUUUUCUCGGUAUGGAAAUCUCUACAGGUCACACGCAGCUUCUCGAGGUUGUGAAAAGUGUGGACGAAGUCAUGGAAGAGUUCAACCUAAGCACUUUCUAUGAGGAUCCUUCGUUUCACUUGACUCUGGCCUGGUGUGUCGGUGACGUGACUGAGAAACUGCAGCAUGCGUGUUUAUCAGAGUUGCAGUGUCUCAUGGACAGCCACGAAGAUGGCCCUUUCCAGAUAAGGCUGAACUGCAAGGAGCUACGCUGUAAAACUGGGAAUAAAUUCUUUCUGUUCCCACUGCAAUGAUUGAUGGUAGUUCAGAGGAUUUUAUAGUAAUGCCUUCAGACACUCCAGACAAUCAGAGUAGCCUUCCUGAAGUUUGUUAGGAAGUUGGGGUCAGAGCGCAGAGUCAGCCAUGAUACGGUGUUCCUGGAGCAGAGAUGUUUAAGAGCCUUGCUCAAGGGCCCAACUGUGGCAGCUUGGCGGUUCAAGCCUCAGCACUGCCAGGUUUUUGCUGGCUGUAGAAAAUAUAUUAAAGCACCCGAUUUCAAUAUAUUUUAUAUUUCAGUGUCACUGGGUGAAAAGUCUGAAUGAUUCAACUUGGGAUCGAUAUUUCAUGGAUGAUCACACGGAGACUAAAAACUAUAACUUCUCAAAAACAGUAUAUGCCCAAGUCUUACCUGGAUACUGUAGAUUUGUACCCAAGACCUGCUACUGUAAUUAUAAAGACUGUCCUGUGCUCAUCCGAGGAAUAUUAUUCCUAAUCUGCUCACGCUGAACAUGUUUUCAAUACAGACACUAAUUCUCAUUGAUUUUCUUCUUCUACAUCUCUAUACUGUAAUGAUUCAUAAUCCCACUAUCCCAUGUCACACAGAAGAGACAGUCUGGUUCCUCUUCAGGUAUCUUCAUGUCAUCUCAGGAAGAUCUCCCUUGCCACUGUCAUGUCUGGCUUGAUUUCUACAAAGCUCCUUUGUGACAAUGACAACAUUUACAUGCUCAUCAAUAUUUCUAUAUUAAUCAGAAUUUGGCAAUAUUUGAAUUAGUGUUGAUUUAAGACAAUAGCCUGAUUCCUCAAAUUCUGAUAUAAUAUCGAAUAUACCUGUUUUAAUGGGAAAUAUGUUACAUGUAAACACCUUAUUCAGAAAAUCCACUGAAAGGAGAUGAAAGUUGCAUGCUCAGUCCACAAGGAAUUGUGGGUAGCAACGGCAGCAUCUUGAAUCUCCUGGGAAAUAACAGCGGGAAAGGGAAAGCGCAGGUGUAGCUCGCUAUACUUACAACAACCGUGUAUACAGGAAUAUUCCUAUGCCCGUACGCAUAUAAACAUCGUAUUUAGAAUAUGGCAGCAACCCGAAUAUAGACCUUAAACAGAAUUUGAUGUGCAUGUAAACGUAACCCAUGUCUUUUCCAAUCUGUGCAUCAGACAGAAGCUGGGACUCGAUCAAAACCGAAUCUAUACAUGGGUUUCUGGGUCAGUAAAGUCUGAGAUCACAUGCUUCUUUUUUAUUACUAGUGUACUACAAUUGUAUGUAUGAUGACUUCAUCUGUGUCUCUGUGCAUCAGUCUCGGAGAAGGAGGCAUUUAUUCUGUAGCUGUCAGUCUCAGGGAUUGAGGCAUGACAUUAAAUCAACUCUAAAUCAUAUCAUAUCGAAUCACUGGCUGCUUAACAUGCAUCACUCGUGCAUCAGUCAUCAUGUGCUGAGAUGUUCAUAUCAGUAUGUGAUUUGCUGCAAUAAACAGACAUUAUCAUCAGUUUCAAGCUAAAUUUAGAGGAACUGGCUCUUCCCUGUACUGUUAACAGUGAAAACCUCGCUUUUCGCAACAUCCGACACAAUGAAACUGAGGCAAAGAUUUGUUUCUGCUUAUAAAUGGCAGGUUCAGCUGUGCUGUAAAUACACCAACAACACUUAACUGCAUCAACUAAACUAAAACACAGAUGAAAUGCAGGCCGUUAUUUUUACGGACAAGCUCAAGUUUUCUUCUUUUCGCCUUCCAAAGGGAGAUUUUUAUAUAUAUAUGAGAGAGAGAUGUAUAGAAUAGGAACCAGUGCGUCAUACACAUUUAAUCAUUCAUUCAUUUAUUUACAAUUGACAUUACCAAAUACAGUUUAAGGAACUUGCUUAAGGGCCUCUAUGAUGGCAGCUUUGGAAGUGCUUCUAAUUAAUAGCCCAAAGCCUUAACUGCUGAGCCACCACUACCUUCCUGCAAAACCUGGUAUUGUAAAACACCUGAGAAAAUGAGUCAGACAGAGGACAGGUUAACCUUAAAAUCCACAUUGUUCAACCAGUGUAGAAUACAAACACUCUUGACAAGUUUAAAAAAGGCACAACAAGAGCAUUUUCUCUUUGUAACUAAAAUGAGCAAUACUGAUUUGUAAGGGCUCAUGGGAUCACAGUCACAGAACCAAGGAAAUGGCAUUCUAGGACAGCACUGAGUAAAGCUGUUCAUCAAUAAUACAGUUAUCACAUCCCUUUAACCCACCAAAAAUAAAUUUAAUAAAACAACAAAUCAAUAAAAUGGUGGUAAAACAUGCAAGAAACCCAAAUACUUAAUGUUGAAAUGAGUCCCGUUUGACCUCCAGAACCCACUACUUUACCAGAAUAACAGCAAAAAUAACGACCGAUAGCUACAGAAACUGAACAAUCAUUUCUCUUGAUUCUUAAACCAACAAUUAGGCAAGUACUUGGGCAGCACAUCUGACUUGCAAUAAAUGCAUUAAGGGCACAUUUGGAACAAAGAGG
Ictalurus punctatus (channel catfish) is the source of this 3352-nucleotide RNA transcript. NCBI's taxonomy places the organism in Eukaryota, Metazoa, Chordata, Actinopteri, Siluriformes, Ictaluridae. The record is from RefSeq and is a predicted model, not a curated record.